CCCUUAGAUGUUCUGGGCCGCACGCGUGCUACACUGAGUGGAUCAGCGGGUCAGGUUGCGCGAAAGUGUUUCCUAAUCUUGAAAUCCGCUCGUGAUGGGGAUUGACGGUUGCAAUUUUCCGUCAUGAACGAGGAAUACCUUGUAAGCGCGGGUCAUCAUCCCGCGCUGAAUACGUCCCUGCCCUUUGUACACACCGCCCGUCGCUCCUACCGAUUGAGUGGUCCGGUGAGGCUUUGGGAUCUGAGCAAAAAGAGCGUUUCGCUCGUUUGGCUCGGAAAACUCAGUCGAACCUUAUCAUUUAGAGGAAGGGGAAGUCGUAACA
This 322-nucleotide ribosomal RNA is filed under the name uncultured eukaryote. RNAcentral's name for it is "partial 18S ribosomal RNA". It matches the Rfam family "Eukaryotic small subunit ribosomal RNA", at positions 1470 to 1796 of the family's 1831-position model. The record is from RNAcentral.